GCCUGUGUGCUGUAGUGGUUUGAGGGUUGGACUAUGACUCUGGAGACCAGAGUUUGAAUCCCUGCCUAGCUG
Molecule: non-coding RNA, 72 nt
Organism: Phrynosoma platyrhinos (Desert horned lizard)
Lineage: Eukaryota; Metazoa; Chordata; Lepidosauria; Squamata; Phrynosomatidae
Source: the annotation of a GenBank genome assembly